UGGCAGGAAACGAUAAAGUAACGUGAGCGGUUUCGGCCCGCUUUUUGGUGUAGAGUUCGGGCAUCCCUGUUAG
Molecule: transfer RNA, 73 nt
Filed under: Puncturella cf. parvinobilis
Lineage: Eukaryota; Metazoa; Mollusca; Gastropoda; Lepetellida; Fissurellidae
Description: tRNA-Arg
Source: RNAcentral